RNAcentral lists this ribosomal RNA (597 nucleotides) under Farysia sp. BI181. RNAcentral describes it as "eukaryotic LSU rRNA". It matches the Rfam family "Eukaryotic large subunit ribosomal RNA", at positions 70 to 648 of the family's 3401-position model. The record is from RNAcentral. Lineage: Eukaryota; Fungi; Basidiomycota; Ustilaginomycetes; Ustilaginales; Ustilaginaceae. RNAcentral also lists the same sequence under 1 other name.
AAGGAUUCCCCUAGUAACGGCGAGUGAAGAGGGAAGAGCCCAAGAUUGAAAGCUGGCGUCUUCGGCGUCCGCAUUGUAAUCUCAAGAAGCAUUUUCCGCUUCGGACCAAGCCUAAGUCCCUUGGAAAAGGGCAUCGUAGAGGGUGAGAAUCCCGUACAUGGCUUGGAGCGCCCGAGGCUUUGUGAUAUGCAUUCUAAGAGUCGAGUUGUUUGGGAAUGCAGCUCAAAAUGGGUGGUAAAUGCCAUCUAAGGCUAAAUAUUGGGGAGAGACCGAUAGCGAACAAGUACCGUGAGGGAAAGAUGAAAAGAACUUUGAAAAGAGAGUUAAACAGUACGUGAAAUUGCCAAAAGGGAAGGGUAGGAGGUCAGAGAUGCGGCGUGGGAUUCAGCCUUGCUUUUGCUUGGUGUUUUUCCCUCAUUGCAGGCCAACGUCGGUUUUGGGCACUGGAGAAGGGUGAGAGGAAUGUGGCACUCUUCGGGGUGUGUUAUAGCCUCUCACUGGAUACAGCGACCGGGACCGAGGAACGCAGCGUACUCGAAAGAGCGGGCCUUCGGGCACCUUUACGCUUAGGGCGUUGGCAUAAUGGCCCUCUACCAC